Homo sapiens (human) is the source of this 2465-nucleotide long non-coding RNA. Ensembl annotates it as cytochrome P450 family 2 subfamily B member 7, pseudogene. Its record names the gene CYP2B7P. The record is from Ensembl. Lineage: Eukaryota; Metazoa; Chordata; Mammalia; Primates; Hominidae.
GGGGUGCAGGGCAGUCAGACUGGAACCAUGGAGCUCAGCGUCCUCCUCUUCCUUGCACUCCUCACAGGCCUCUUGCUACUCCUGGUUCAGCGUCACCCUAACUCCCAUGGCACCCUCCCACCAGGGCCCCGCCCUCUGCCCCUUUUGGGGAACCUUCUGCAGAUGGACAGAAGAGGCCUACUCAAAUCCUUUCUGAGGUUCCGAGAGAAAUAUGGGGACGUCUUCACGGUACACCUGGGACCGAGGCCCGUGGUCAUGCUGUGUGGAGUAGAGGCCAUACGGGAGGCCCUGGUGGACAACGCUGAGGCCUUCUCUGGCCGGGGAAAAAUCGUCAUCAUGGACCCAGUCUACCAGGGAUAUGGCAUGCUCUUUGCCAAUGGAAACCGCUGGAAGGUGCUUCGGCGAUUCUCUGUGACCACCAUGAGGGACUUCGGGAUGGGAAAGCGGAGUGUGGAGGAGCGGAUUCAGGACGAGGCUCAGUGUCUGAUAGAGGAACUUCGGAAAUCCAAGGAGAGAGUCUACAAGGAGAUUGAACAGGUGGUUGGCCCACAUCGCCCUCCAGCGCUUGAUGACCGAGCCAAAAUGCCAUACACAGAGGCAGUCAUCCGUGAGAUUCAGAGAUUUGCUGACCUUCUCCCCAUGGGUGUGCCCCACAUUGUCACCCAACACACCAGCUUCUGAGGGUACACCAUCCCCAAGGACACGGAAGUAUUUCUCAUCCUGAGCACUGCUCUCCGUGACCCACACUACUUUGAAAAACCAGACGCCUUCAAUCCUGACCACUUUCUGGAUGCCAAUGGGGCACUGAAAAAGAAUGAAGCUUUUAUCCCCUUCUCCUUAGGGAAGCGGAUUUGUCUUGGUGAAGGCAUUGCCCGUGCGGAAUUGUUCCUCUUCUUCACCACCAUCCUCCAGAACUUCUCCGUGGCCAGCCCCGUGGCUCCUGAAGACAUCGAUCUGACACCCCAGGAGUGUGGUGUGGGCAAAAUACCCCCAACAUACCAGAUCUGCUUCCUGCCCCGCUGAAGGGGCUGAGGGAAGGGGGUCAAAGGAUUCCAGGGUCAUUCAGUGUCCCCACCUCUGUAGAUAAUGGCUCUGACUCCCUGCAACUUCCUGCCUCUGAGAGACCUGCUGCAAGCCAGCUUCCUUCCCUUCCAUGGCACCAGUUGUCUGAGGUCGCAGUGCAAAUGAGUGGAGGAGUGAGAUUAUUGAAAAUUAUAAUAUACAAAAUUAUAUAUAUAUAUUUUGAGACAGAGUCUCACUCAGUUGCCCAGGCUGGAGUGCAGUGGCGUGAUCUCGGCUCACUGCAACCUCCACCCCCGGGGUUCAAGAAAUUCUCCUGCCUCAGCCUCCCUAGUAGCUGGGAUUACAGGUGUGUGCUACCAUGCCUGGCUAAUUUUUGUAUUUUUAGUAGAGAUGGGGUUUCACCGUGUUGGCCAGGCUGAUCUCAAACUCCUGAACUCAAGUGAUUCACCCACCUUAGCCUCCCAAAGUGCUGGGAUUACAGGUGUGAGUCACCAUGCCCGGCCAUGUAUAUAUAUAAUUUUAAAAAUUAAGAUGAAAUUCACAUAAAAUAAAAUUAGCCAUUUUAAAGUGUACAAUUUAGUGGUGUGUGGUUCAUUCACAAAGCUGUACAACCACCACCAUCUAGUUCCAAACAUUUUCUUUUUUUCUGAGACGGAGUCUCACUCUGUCACCCAGGUUCGAGUUCAGUGGUCUUGAACUCCUGAUGUCAGGUGAUUCUCCUAGUUCCAAAUGUUUUCAUUAUCUCCCCCCAACAAAACCCAUACCUAUCAAGCUGUCACUCCCCAUACCCCAUUCUCUUUUUCAUCUCAGCCCCUGUCAAUCUGGUUUUUGUCCUUAUGGACUUACCAAUUCUGAAUAUUUCCUAUAAACAGAAUCACACAAUAUUUGAUUUUUUUUUUAAAACUAAGCCUUGCUCUGUCUCCCAGGCUGGAGUGCUGUGGCGUGAUUUUGGUUCACUGCAACCUCCGCCUUCCAAGUUCAAGAGAUUCUCCUGCCUCAGCUUCCAAGUAGCUGGGAUUACAGGCAUGUGGUACCACGCCUGGCUAAUUUUCUUGUAUUUUUAGUAGGGACAUGUUGGCCAGGCUGGUUGUGAGCUCCUGGCCUCAGGUGAUCCACACGCCUCAGUGUCCCAGAGUGCUGAUAUUACAGGCGUAAUAUGUGAUCUUUUGUGUCUGGUUCCUUUCACGUUGAACGCUAUUUUUGAGGUUCGUGCCUGUUGUAGACCACAGUCACACACUGCUGUAGUCUUCCCCCAUCCUCAUUCCCAGCUGCCUCCUCCUACUGUUUCCCUCUAUCAAAAAGCCUCCUUGGCGCAGGUUCCCUGAGCUGUGGGAUUCUGCACUGGUGCUUUGGAUUCCCUGAUAUGUUCCUUCAAAUCCACUGAGAAUUAAAUAAACAUCGCUAAAGCAUGACCUCCCCACGUCAAGAGGUGAUCUGUGCCA